This 864-nucleotide ribosomal RNA is filed under the name uncultured bacterium. RNAcentral describes it as "bacterial SSU rRNA". It matches the Rfam family "Bacterial small subunit ribosomal RNA", at positions 524 to 1381 of the family's 1533-position model. The record is from RNAcentral.
GACAGGGGGCUCGAGCGUUAAUCGGAAUCAUUGGGCUUAAAGGGUGCGUAGGCGGGUCGCUAAGUGUUCUGUGAAAUCCCCCGGCUCAACCGGGGAAUUGCAGGGCAUACUGGCGGCCUUGAGGCAUGUAGGGGCGGACGGAACUGUAGGUGGAGCGGUGAAAUGCGUAGAUAUCUACAGGAACGCCGAUGGUGAAGACGGUCCGCUGGGCAUGUCCUGACGCUGAGGCACGAAAGCGUGGGGAGCAAACAGGAUUAGAUACCCUGGUAGUCCACGCCCUAAACGAUGUACACUAGAUCGGUGCGGCUCUGACGCCGUAUCGGUCGAAGUAAAAACGAUAAGUGUACCGCCUGGGGAGUACGGUCGCAAGGCUAAAACUCAAAGAAAUUGACGGGGGCUCACACAAGCGGUGGAGCAUGUUGCUUAAUUCGAGGCAACGCGAAGAACCUUACCUGGGUUUGACAUGGCCGGAUUAGCUCUUGGAAACAGGAGUGGCACCUUCGGGUGGAACGGUCACAGGUGCUGCAUGGCUGUCGUCAGCUCGUGCUGUGAAGUGUCGGGUUAAGUCCCUUAACGAGCGCAACCCCUAUCGUUAGUUGCUAACGGGUCAUGCCGAGUACUCUAGCGAGACUGCCGGUGUCAAACCGGAGGAAGGUGGGGAUGACGUCAAGUCCUCAUGGCCCUUACAUCCAGGGAUGCAAACGUGCUACAAUGGUGCGCACAAAGCGAUGCAAGACAGCGAUGUGGAGCAAAUCGCAAAAAACGCACCCCAGUUCGGAUUGCAGGCUGCAACUCGCCUGCAUGAAGUCGGAAUCGCUAGUAAUCGGAGAUCAGCUACGCUCCGGUGAAUAUGUUCCUGAGCCU